GGGCGAAUAGCUCAGGUGGUAUGAGCGCCUCGCUUACAACGAGGAGGUCGUAGGUUCGAGUCCUACUUCGCCCA
This 74-nucleotide transfer RNA is filed under the name Chloroflexota bacterium. RNAcentral describes it as "tRNA-Val". It matches the Rfam family "tRNA". Rfam says of the family: Transfer RNA (tRNA) molecules are approximately 80 nucleotides in length. Their secondary structure includes four short double-helical elements and three loops (D, anti-codon, and T loops). RNAcentral also lists the same sequence under 1 other name. Lineage: Bacteria; Bacillati; Chloroflexota. The record is from RNAcentral.